This 90-nucleotide non-coding RNA is filed under the name Vagococcus fluvialis. Its description in RNAcentral is "TPP riboswitch aptamer (THI element)". It matches the Rfam family "TPP riboswitch aptamer (THI element)". Rfam says of the family: Vitamin B(1) in its active form thiamin pyrophosphate (TPP) is an essential coenzyme that is synthesised by coupling of pyrimidine and thiazole moieties in bacteria. The previously detected thiamin-regulatory element, thi box was extended, resulting in a new, highly conserved RNA secondary structure, the THI element, which is widely distributed in eubacteria and also occurs in some archaea. Lineage: Bacteria; Bacillati; Bacillota; Bacilli; Lactobacillales; Enterococcaceae. RNAcentral also lists the same sequence under 1 other name. The record is from Rfam by way of RNAcentral.
UAGAAACAUUUGGGGUGCGUAAAAGCUGAGAUAAUACCCAUUGAAUCUGCUCCAGUUAGUACUGGCGAAGAGAAAUGUAUUCAAUGAACG